GGGAGUCAGACUGCACGAGAUAAGUUGGGCAGUCAAAAGGGAAAGAGCCCAGACCACCGGCUAAGGUCCCAAAGUGCGUGUUAAGUGGAAAAGGAUGUGGGAAUUCGAAGACAACUAGGAUGUUGGCUCAGAAGCAGCCAUACAUUCAAAGAGUGCGUAACAGCUCACUAGUCGAGAGUUCCUGCGCCGAAAAUGUCCGGGGCUGAAACACGACACCGAAGCCGUGGACUCGCAAUGCGAGUGGUAGAGGAGCAUUCUUAAAACCGACGAAGCUGUACCGGAAGGAGCAGUGGAGGGAUAAGAAGAGAGAAUGCCGGAAUGAGUAGCGAGAGAAAGGUGGGAAUCCUUUCGGCCGAAUAUCUAAGGUUUCCAGAGUAAAGCUGAUCUGCUCUGGGUAAGUCGGGGCCUAAGCACAGGUCGCAAGACGUAAGCGAUGGAUAACAGGUUUAGAUUCCUGUACCACGCAUUAUCAGAACUGUAGGGACGCAUGUGGAAAGCACGAGCCGGGAAUGGAAAGACCGGUACAAGCGGGGUAGGAGUACAAUAGGCAAAUCCGUUGUAUGAUCCGAAGACGUGAUGUGGAGCGAAAUAAAGUAGUGAAGCGUGUGAGCCAUGUGCCGAGAAAAGCUGCUAUUGUGUAAUGCGUGCCCGUACCGUAAACCGACACAGGUGGAUGAGGAGAGAAUCCUAAGGCCGACGGAAGAAGCAUUGUUAAGGAAUUCGGCAAAAUGACCCCGUAACUUCGGGAGAAGGGGUGCCUGCGAGAGCAGGCCGCAGAGAAUAGGCUCAAGCAACUGUUUAGCAAAAACACAGGUCUAUGCGAAACCGAAAGGUGAAGUAUAUGGGCUGACGCCUGCCCGGUGCUGGAAGGUUAAGAGGAGAGGUUAGCGCAAGCGAAGCUUUGAAUUUAAGCCCCAGUAAACGGCGGCCGUAACUAUAACGGUCCUAAGGUAGCGAAAUUCCUUGUCGGGUAAGUUCCGACCCGCACGAAAGGCGUAAUGAUUUGAGCACUGUCUCGACAAUGCAUCCGGUGAAAUUGAAGUACCAGUGAAGAUGCUGGUUACCCGCGCCAGGACGGAAAGACCCCAUGGAGCUUUACUCCAGUUUGAUACUGGGAUUCGGUACUGCAUGUACAGGAUAGGUGGGAGACGAAGAAGGAUGGACGCCAGUCUGUCCGGAGUCGCUGUUGGGAUACCACCCCUGUAGUACUGGGUUUCUAACCAGUUGCCAUGAUCUGGUAAUGGGACAAUGUCAGGCGGGGAGUUUGACUGGGGCGGUCGCCUCCGAAAGGGUAUCGGAGGCGCUCAAAGGUUCCCUCAGAAUGGUUGGAAACCAUUUGAAGAGUGCAAAGGCAGAAGGGAGCUUGACUGCGACACCGACGGGUGGAGCAGGUACGAAAGUAGGACUUAGUGAUCCGGUGGUAUAAAGUGGGAUUGCCAUCGCUCAACGGAUAAAAGCUACCCUGGGGAUAACAGGCUUAUCACUCCCAAGAGUUCACAUCGACGGAGUGGUUUGGCACCUCGAUGUCGGCUCAUCGCAUCCUGGGGCUGUAGUAGGUCCCAAGGGUUGGGCUGUUCGCCCAUUAAAGCGGUACGCGAGCUGGGUUCAGAACGUCGUGAGACAGUUCGGUCCCUAUCCGGCGCGGGCGGAGGAUAUUUGAGAGGAGCUGUCCUUAGUACGAGAGGACCGGGAUGGACGGACCACUGGUGUAUCUGUUGUCGACCAACGGCAUGGCAGAGUAGCCAAGUCUGGAAGGGAUAAACGCUGAAGGCAUCUAAGCGUGAAGCCCCCCUCAAGAUGAGAUAUCCCUCCUUCGGGAGUAAGACCCCUUGAAGACUACAAGGUAGAUAGGGCAGAGGUGGAAGCAUGGCAACAUGUGGAGCUGACUGUUACUAAUAGGUCGAGGGCUUAAUCU
RNAcentral lists this ribosomal RNA (1915 nucleotides) under human gut metagenome. RNAcentral describes it as "bacterial LSU rRNA". It matches the Rfam family "Bacterial large subunit ribosomal RNA", at positions 979 to 2925 of the family's 2925-position model. The record is from RNAcentral.